This 253-nucleotide ribosomal RNA is filed under the name uncultured bacterium. Its description in RNAcentral is "partial 16S ribosomal RNA". It matches the Rfam family "Bacterial small subunit ribosomal RNA", at positions 1066 to 1320 of the family's 1533-position model. The record is from RNAcentral.
CGUGAGAUGUUGGGUUAAGUCCCGCAACGAGCGCAACCCCUAUCAACAGUUGCCAUCAUUAAGUUGGGAACUCUGUUGAGACUGCCGUUGAUAAAAGCGGAGGAAGGUGGGGAUGAUGUCAAGUCAUCAUGGCCUUUAUGUUCAGGGCUACACACGUGCUACAAUGGACGGUACAAAACGUCGCGAUCCUGCAAGGGGGAGCUAAUCGCAAAAACCGUUCUCAGUUCGGAUUGAAGUCUGCAACUCGACUUCA